GGCGGACGGGUGAGUAACGCGUGGGAAUCUACCCAGUAGUGGGGGACAACUACCGGAAACGGUAGCUAAUACCGCAUACGCCCUAUGGGGGAAAGGCUUCGGCCGCUAUUGGAUGAGCCCGCGUCAGAUUAGCUAGUUGGUAGGGUAAAGGCCUACCAAGGCAACGAUCUGUAGCUGGUCUGAGAGGACGAACAGCCACACUGGGACUGAGACACGGCCCAGACUCCUACGGGAGGCAGCAGUGGGGAAUAUUGGACAAUGGGCGAAAGCCUGAUCCAGCAAUGCCGCGUGUGUGAAGAAGGCCUGCGGGUUGUAAAGCACUUUCAGUUGGGAAGAUGAUGACGUUACCAACAGAAGAAGCACCGGCUAAAUCCGUGCCAGCAGCCGCGGUAAUACGGAUGGUGCGAGCGUUAAUCGGAAUUACUGGGCGUAAGGCGCGC
Molecule: ribosomal RNA, 440 nt
Filed under: uncultured Gammaproteobacteria bacterium
Lineage: Bacteria; Pseudomonadati; Pseudomonadota; Gammaproteobacteria
Description: bacterial SSU rRNA
Rfam family: Bacterial small subunit ribosomal RNA
Source: RNAcentral